Molecule: non-coding RNA, 779 nt
Filed under: Caenorhabditis japonica
Lineage: Eukaryota; Metazoa; Nematoda; Chromadorea; Rhabditida; Rhabditidae
Description: Eukaryotic large subunit ribosomal RNA
Rfam family: Eukaryotic large subunit ribosomal RNA
Source: Rfam by way of RNAcentral
CAACCUGAACUCAGUCGUGAUUACCCGCUGAACUUAAGCAUAUCAUUUAGCGGAGGAAAAGAAACUAAAAAGGAUUCCCCUAGUAACGGCGAGUGAAACGGGAAGAGCCCAGCGCCGAAUCGAUCAGUCUUUGGCUGCUUCGAAAUGUGGCGUAUAGGUGUAGUCUUCCAGCAGUGUCGUAUGUCCGAAGUCCUUGCGAUUGAGGCCAUAAACCAGAGAGGGUGCGAGCCCCGUUCUGGAUAGCGGCGCUGUUGGUUCGACUGCUCCUUGGAGUCGGGUUGCUUGAAAGUGCAGCCUAAAGUGGGUGAUAAACUUCAUCUAAGGCUAAAUAUUGACUCGAUUGCGAUAGCGAACAAGUACCGUGAGGGAAAGUUGCAAAGGACUUUGAAGAGAGAGUUCAAGAGAACGUGAAAUCGCUGGAGUGGAACCGGAGACAGUUGAUGUUGCUUGGAGACAAUCUUGGUGGCUGAUCGCUUAGCUGUGAUCGCCGCCGGGAGUCGUUUCCUAUGCUACGCCGACGGCGUUGGCCGCUCGUUCUGGCCCGACAGUGUUGCCCAUCUCGCAAGAGACGGUGUCUUGUUGUCGGUCGUUGGUUCGUGGUGGCUAGCGUUUAGUUACGCUAGUGUGUGUGACGUCGGUGUGAAAGUCGACGACGUUUCCGACCCGUCUUGAAACACGGAUUACGGAGUGUUUGUCUGCUGCGAGUCAAAGGGUGUAAAAACCUUGCGGCGCAAUGAAAGUGAAGGUUAGUCUCGAACUGACCGACGUGGGAUCCGUGU